UGCCUAUAUACCGCCGUCGUCAGUUUACCCUGUGAAGGGUUCAUAGUAAGCGAAAUUGGUGAGACCCCAAAACGCCAGGUCGAGGUGUAGUGUAUGAAGGGGGAAGAUAAUGGGCUACAUUCUUUGAAGCAGAGAAUACGGAUGGUGUGUUGAAAUUACAUGCCUGAAGGAGGAUUUAGCAGUAAGCUAAGAAUAGAGUGCUUAGCUGAAAUUGGCCCUGAAGCGCGUACAUACCGCCCGUCAUCCUCCCCAAAACUAGAAAAUUUAAUGUAAAUAAGAUGUUAUUAUGGUAAAGGGGAGGCAAGUCGUAACAUGGUAAGUGUACCGGAAGGUGUACUUGGAGUAAAA
This 348-nucleotide ribosomal RNA is filed under the name Mystus bleekeri (Day's mystus). RNAcentral describes it as "mitochondrial SSU rRNA". It matches the Rfam family "Bacterial small subunit ribosomal RNA", at positions 1036 to 1533 of the family's 1533-position model. Lineage: Eukaryota; Metazoa; Chordata; Actinopteri; Siluriformes; Bagridae. The record is from RNAcentral.